This 93-nucleotide transfer RNA is filed under the name Pyrobaculum ferrireducens. RNAcentral describes it as "tRNA-Trp". It matches the Rfam family "tRNA". Rfam says of the family: Transfer RNA (tRNA) molecules are approximately 80 nucleotides in length. Their secondary structure includes four short double-helical elements and three loops (D, anti-codon, and T loops). Lineage: Archaea; Thermoproteati; Thermoproteota; Thermoprotei; Thermoproteales; Thermoproteaceae. The record is from RNAcentral.
CGGGGCCGUAGCUCAGCCAGGCAGAGCGGCGGGCUCCAGACCCGUAGACCCCAAGGGGCGGAAGGCGGGGGUUCAAAUCCCUCCGGCCCCACC